UUUGUCAUAGGUGUGUUACUUCUGCUGGUUCUGUAUCUGAUCUUCACAAGACACAGAAGUCGACGCCAAAACGGUAACCAACGAGAGAACAGGGAUGAUUCAGUGGAGGUGAACGAGAUUGAGAUGGGGCACAUGACCUCAGAUCAAAACAUUGGAAACGGAAGCACUGACACCAAGAACAUGAGGAAUGACACAGUGAAGACAGAGGAGGAGAAGCUCAUGUCCAGUCACAGCUCAGCUUCAGCUUCUGACCCUGGGGCCAAAAGGAAAAAAAAAAUCCCACUUUGAAUGUAA
Solea senegalensis (Senegalese sole) is the source of this 294-nucleotide long non-coding RNA. RefSeq lists it as uncharacterized. Lineage: Eukaryota; Metazoa; Chordata; Actinopteri; Pleuronectiformes; Soleidae. The record is from RefSeq and is a predicted model, not a curated record. The transcript is spliced from 4 exons.